This 238-nucleotide ribosomal RNA is filed under the name uncultured bacterium. RNAcentral's name for it is "partial 16S ribosomal RNA". It matches the Rfam family "Bacterial small subunit ribosomal RNA", at positions 103 to 334 of the family's 1533-position model. The record is from RNAcentral.
CGGGUGAGUAAUACAUAAGUAACCUGCCCUAGACAGGGGGAUAACUAUUGGAAACGAUAGCUAAGACCGCAUAGGUACGGACACUGCAUGGUGACCGUAUUAAAAGUGCCUCAAAGCACUGGUAGAGGAUGGACUUAUGGCGCAUUAGCUGGUUGGCGGGGUAACGGCCCACCAAGGCGACGAUGCGUAGCCGACCUGAGAGGGUGACCGGCCACACUGGGACUGAGACACGGCCCAA